This 1106-nucleotide long non-coding RNA is filed under the name Coturnix japonica (Japanese quail). RNAcentral's name for it is "lncRNA (ENSCJPG00005018053.1)". Lineage: Eukaryota; Metazoa; Chordata; Aves; Galliformes; Phasianidae. The record is from RNAcentral.
AAAUGAGGAGUGAUUUUAGUUCCAAAUGACAUGACGAUUUUUUUAAGAGGAGGGAAUGAACGACUUUCAUGUUUGCAAAACUCAUCUGCAUUUUAAGAAGAUGCUGUGCUUGCACUAGAUUAUGUCGCAGGACACAUCACUGCUAUUAUCAUUAAAUUUUUGUAACUCAUUCGAAUUUUCAGGGUCAGGUAGUUUAAAGCAUCUGAAUGCUCACUUUCUGUCUCCAGUAGUAUGUCCUUGACAGCCCGAAUUUCUGACAGUUUUGCUUAGGGCUGAGUCGACUUGGAGAGGCUGUGUCAGCCUUGGACUUUCCUGGGCUUGCUUUUGGCAAAGAUUUAAAAGAAUAAUACAUAAAUUUCCAAGCAUUUGCAUGGUAUGAAGUGGCUGGAAUGAUUUUCAUAGCUGGGAUAUUCCAAGAAGAGACACUCAAGGAAAAAAAAAAUAAAAAUCCUUUGACUCAUCAUAUAAAUAGUAAUCUAAUGCAAUAUUAAAAACUAUUCAGUUAAAUAUUUAAGGCUGUGGAGUAACUCACUUAAUUUACGGGUCAGUAUACCUAAUUGUAUGUGUGGGGGAUAUCCAUUGGCUUACUGCAGCCCAGCCCCAGGGAGGUGAGAAGGGGUUAUUGCUCACACCUGCAGGGUGGCCCUUAGAAGGGCUGCAACACAGCAAGCUGGGUGGAGUAGCUGAAGAGUGGCAUGCAAGAAGGAAGAUGAUUAGUACAAGCCACAGAACGGAUACAUUCUUUCCACACACUCAGAACAUCAGCUUGCAAGAAAUGAUGAAGCUUAGUGUAGAAUCAUGGACAACCACUGAACUCAGGUAGUCACCAGCAAAACACAGGAAACGUGAGUGUUGGGCUGGUGAAGCUGUGAGCCCCACAGCGGUGGCUGUACUGGGACCCUUGCAAGUCAGCUCAGUCUCUUCAGUCUCUACAAAAAGAAUGUAUGGAAAAAUGAUAGAUGCAGAGCACAAAAAGCAUAUAAGCUGAAGUGUGUGAUCCGUGUGGUAAUGUCACAAAAUCAGUCAUCCAAUGUUUUAACUGUAACCCGAAAUGGUAUCUAAAAUAUACCUAGACACCAAAGAUUCCGUAGAAACGGGACUCAGUG